CGAGCACGCGCGUGUGGCAUAUCAAUAAGCGGAGGAAAAGAAACUAACAAGGAUUCCCUUAGUAACGGCGAGUGAAGCGGGAAGAGCUCAAAUUUGAAAUCUUCAAGGGUUUCCCUUGACGAAUUGUAGUUUAUAGAAGUGUUUUCUGUUAGUAGAGGUGGUAAAAGUUCUUUGGAAUAGGACAUCAUAGAGGGUGAGAAUCCCGUAUUUGACCGUUACUUUCCUAGCUGUGUGAUACACUUUCAAAGAGUCGGAUUGUUUGGGAAUGCAGUCCAAAAUGGGUGGUAAAUUUCAUCUAAAGCUAAAUAUUGGCGAGAGACCGAUAGCGAACAAGUACCGUGAGGGAAAGAUGAAAAGAACUUUGAAAAGAGAGUUAAACAGUACGUGAAAUUGUCAAAAGGGAAGCGUUUGACACCAGUGUUGUUUUUCCGAAAAUCAAUUACGGAAUGUUUUAGUUUUUGAGGAGUUAUGACUUCAUCGGCUUGCUCCUUUCUUUAUGAAACUUUCUUAAUGCACUUUUCGGUUAACAAGUCAACAUCAAUUUCUUUUGCUGUAAAAGGGUAUGAGGAAGGUGGCUUCAUCUUCGGUUAGAAAGUGUUUAUAGCCUUGUACCUCUGCAAGUCGGAGAGAUUGAGGUCUGCAGCGUAGACUCUUCGGGGUUAGAUACAGUUUGUGCUAAGUUAUAGCUUUUCAUAGACAACUUGUUGACUAUGUUUAGUCUUGUAGCUUACUCGCUGAUGCUAUUUUACCUACGCUUAGGAUGUUGAACUCUAUCACACACA
This 782-nucleotide ribosomal RNA is filed under the name uncultured Neocallimastigales. Its description in RNAcentral is "partial large subunit ribosomal RNA". It matches the Rfam family "Eukaryotic large subunit ribosomal RNA", at positions 19 to 615 of the family's 3401-position model. The record is from RNAcentral. Lineage: Eukaryota; Fungi; Neocallimastigomycota; Neocallimastigomycetes; Neocallimastigales.